Molecule: non-coding RNA, 744 nt
Filed under: Chaetocnema paganettii
Lineage: Eukaryota; Metazoa; Arthropoda; Insecta; Coleoptera; Chrysomelidae
Source: RNAcentral
UAAAAAUUUUAUUUUAGUUUAAAAAUUAAAUGUUAUUUUUAAUUAUAUGUAAAAUUUUAUUUAAGAAUAAAUUGCAGUAAUUAAAAUUAAAUAUUCAAGAAAUUGAGAUUUAUAAAUAAUAAUUAAUAUAAACUUAAUUUGUGCCAGCAGUUGCGGUUAUACAAAUUAUAUAAUUUAAUUUUUAUUAAUUAUAAUUAAUUGUUAUUUAAAUUUUAUCAUUAAAUUUAUUAAGUGAAAUUUUAAAUUUAUUUAAAAUUUUUUAUGUUAAAUGUUUUAAGAAAUUUUAAUAAUAAACUAGGAUUAGAUACCCUAUUAUUUAAAAAUGUAUUUAAAAAAAUUUAAUUAGUAUUAGUUAUGUUCUUAAAAAUUAAAAAAUUUGGCGGUAUUUUAGUCUAUUUAGAGGAACCUGUUUUAUAAAUGAUAAUCCACGAUUUAAUUUACUUAUUUUAUUAGUUUAUAUAUCGUUGUAAUUAAAUAUUUUUUUAGAAUUUUAAUAUUUGAGAAUUUUAAUUAAAAAAUAAAUCAAAUCAAGAUGUAAUUUAUAAAUAAGUAAAAAUGGGUUACAAUAAAUUUAUUUUAGGAUAAUAAUUAUUAUAGUUAUUUGAAUUUGGAUUUAAAGGUAAUUUUAAUAAAUUAAUUAAGAUGAUUUUAGCUCUAAAAUAUGUACAUAUUGCCCGUCGCUUUCAUUUAAAAUGGAAUAAGUCGUAACAAAGUAGAUUUACUGGAAAGUGAAUCUAGAUUCAA